This 65-nucleotide transfer RNA is filed under the name chicken gut metagenome. It matches the Rfam family "tRNA", at positions 5 to 66 of the family's 71-position model. Rfam says of the family: Transfer RNA (tRNA) molecules are approximately 80 nucleotides in length. Their secondary structure includes four short double-helical elements and three loops (D, anti-codon, and T loops). The record is from RNAcentral.
UCUAUAGCUCAGUUGGUAGAGUGCUACCUUGGUAAGGUAGAGGUCACGGGUUCAAUUCCCGUUGG